This is a ribosomal RNA of Danio rerio (zebrafish), 118 nucleotides long. Lineage: Eukaryota; Metazoa; Chordata; Actinopteri; Cypriniformes; Danionidae. The record is from Ensembl.
UUUCACAGCCAUAUCACCCUGCAGCCCAAGACCGGGUUACUCACUGAAGCUAAGCAGGGCUGAGCCUGGUCAGUACUUGGAUGCAUGACCACAUGGGAAAACUAGGUUGUUGUUGGAA